Molecule: ribosomal RNA, 433 nt
Filed under: uncultured bacterium
Lineage: Bacteria
Description: partial 16S ribosomal RNA
Rfam family: Bacterial small subunit ribosomal RNA
Source: RNAcentral
AACGAACGCUGGCGGCAUGCCUAACACAUGCGAGUCGAACGAGACCUUCGGGUCUAGUGGCGCACGGGUGCGUAACGCGUGGGAACCUGACCUUAGGUUCGGAAUAACUCCCCGAAAGGGGUGCUAAUACCGGAUAAUGUCUUCUGCCCAAACAUUUAUCGCGUUUGGUUGUGCCCGCGUUGGAUUCGCUGGUUCGUAGGGUAAUAGCCUACCAAGGCGACGAUCCAUAGCUGGUCUGAGAGGAUGAUCAGCCACACUGGGACUGAGACACGGCCCAGACUCCUACGCGAGGCAGCAGUGGGGAAUGUAGGACAAUGGGCGAAAGCCUGAUCCAGCAAGGCCGCGUGAGUGAUGAAGGCCGGAGGGUUGUAAAGCGCUUUUACCCGGGAUGAUAAUGACAGUACCGGGAGAAUAAGCUCCGGCUAACUCCGUG